This 484-nucleotide ribosomal RNA is filed under the name uncultured bacterium. Its description in RNAcentral is "partial 16S ribosomal RNA". It matches the Rfam family "Bacterial small subunit ribosomal RNA", at positions 29 to 507 of the family's 1533-position model. The record is from RNAcentral.
AUUGAACGCUGGCGGCAUGCUUUACACAUGCAAGUCGAACGGCAGCGCGGGCUUCGGCCUGGCGGCGAGUGGCGAACGGGUGAGUAAUGCAUCGGAACGUGCCCAGUAGUGGGGGAUAGCCCGGCGAAAGCCGGAUUAAUACCGCAUACGACCUGAGGGUGAAAGCGGGGGACCGAAAGGCCUCGCGCUAUUGGAGCGGCCGAUGUCGGAUUAGCUAGUUGGUGGGGUAAAGGCUUACCAAGGCGACGAUCCGUAGCUGGUCUGAGAGGACGACCAGCCACACUGGGACUGAGACACGGCCCAGACUCCUAAGGGAGGCAGCAGUGGGGAAUGUUGGACAAUGGGGGCAACCCUGAUCCAGCCAUGCCGCGUGCGGGAAGAAGGCCUUCGGGUUGUAAACCGCUUUUGUUCGGGAAGAAAUCCUCUGGGCUAAUACCCCGGGGGGAUGACGGUACCGGAAGAAUAAGCACCGGCUAACUACGUG